CCGCGCAGCCCGUCUUCCUCCUCGGGGGGCUCGUCCAGAAGCACCCGGCUCCGGCUCAGCUUCCACAUCUCGGGGGUUCGACCGCUCUGCGCAGCGUCGCUCCCGGACUGGGGGAGGACGCUCGGCCCGCGGCUCUGGGACGGACCGCCCCAACCUCCUUAAGGAGGUCCCCUCGGGUAAAUCCAGCCAACCGAGUCCUUUACCCAGGGACCAGGAACCCGGGUGCACCAAAAGCAUAUGACAUGUCACACCCGUGGCCCCGGGACCCCGGACCCUCAAGCUCACUCAGCCCGAUGGGCGUGGUCCAUCCCGGAUCACCAAGGCAACGCUGAGGUACAGGGAAAACAAUGAUGAUGGACAUGUUUUAUGCUUAUGUGGAAAUGAAGAGGAAAAAACCGGGUCCAUUUUCAUGGCUUCAUGCUAGAUGUGCACAGAAAAUCUCCCAUAGACCAGGAUGACCACAGGAGUACAGUCACCGAGGCUGUUAGCCCAGCAAGCUCCGAGGGUUGCCGGCCAGUGAUGGGCCCUGCUUUAUUUCUUUACAGCACUGACUGCUAGCAGCGUGGAAGAGUCCCCCACAUCCUUUGAAGGCCUCCUCCCCCAGCAAGCCAGGGCCAGUGGCUUCCUCCUUGAACUCAGACUCCCUUCAUGUCCCCAGACCAGUCAAAGGCCAAGGCCUUUUCAUUAUUUCCCAUUUCCUCCUCAGGAAAUUAUAUGAUUAUAAUAAAAUACCAAGAAGAAUAGUAA
Peromyscus maniculatus bairdii (prairie deer mouse) is the source of this 747-nucleotide non-coding RNA. The record is from RefSeq and is a predicted model, not a curated record. NCBI's taxonomy places the organism in Eukaryota, Metazoa, Chordata, Mammalia, Rodentia, Cricetidae.